GAGUUUGAUCCUGGCUCAGGACGAACGCUGGCGGCGUGCUUAACACAUGCAAGUCGAACGGUGAUGUCAGAGCUUGCUCUGGCGGAUCAGUGGCGAACGGGUGAGUAACACGUGAGUAACCUGCCCCCGACUCUGGGAUAACUGCUAGAAAUGGUAGCUAAUACCGGAUAUGACGAUUGGCCGCAUGGUCUGGUCGUGGAAAGAAUUUCGGUUGGGGAUGGACUCGCGGCCUAUCAGGUUGUUGGUGAGGUAAUGGCUCACCAAGCCUACGACGGGUAGCCGGCCUGAGAGGGUGACCGGCCACACUGGGACUGAGACACGGCCCAGACUCCUACGGGAGGCAGCAGUGGGGAAUAUUGCACAAUGGGCGAAAGCCUGAUGCAGCAACGCCGCGUGAGGGAUGACGGCCUUCGGGUUGUAAACCUCUUUUAGUAGGGAAGAAGCGAAAGUGACGGUACCUG
Molecule: ribosomal RNA, 461 nt
Filed under: Clavibacter sepedonicus
Lineage: Bacteria; Bacillati; Actinomycetota; Actinomycetes; Micrococcales; Microbacteriaceae
Description: bacterial SSU rRNA
Rfam family: Bacterial small subunit ribosomal RNA
Source: RNAcentral